This is a non-coding RNA of Benincasa hispida (wax gourd), 2734 nucleotides long. NCBI's taxonomy places the organism in Eukaryota, Viridiplantae, Streptophyta, Magnoliopsida, Cucurbitales, Cucurbitaceae. The record is from RefSeq and is a predicted model, not a curated record.
GAGUGUCGUUUUAAGUUCCAUGCAUGCAUGUAUUUAGUAACGGCCUAACUUAAGUCCUAGGGGGUCGAGUCGUUACAGUUGGUAUCAGAGUCCACGUUUUGGGUUCUAUAGACUGACUUACUAUAUAAGUCUAGAUUGUCCCUGUGGCCCAGUACAGAUUCCUCGUCAUUGCCAGGUAUGUCGUACUAAUGAAAGUUUCAGUGUAUAUAUGAGAUUAGUGAUGUAGUGUUUUUAUAGCAUGAUUUCUGUGAAAGACCCAGAGAUAGAUAGUUAAUUUAUGAGUUCAUGACAGAACAUGGCACCUAAACCUAGAACAAGAAAGACCGUUAGAGGAGGGGUGCAAGAAGAGGGAGUUGAGUGUAGCCAGACUGUCCCGACAGCUCUAAAUCCACCUAUAGCCCAAGUCGAUGAGAAGGCAAUGGAAGCCAAAAUUAGUGAAGCUGUUGCAUCCUCCCUGAUGGGAAAACCGCAAGAGCUGAUUCGUAAAAAGAUCUCAAGAUAGACUGCCAAAAACCAGGCUCAGAAGGAACCGGUGCCACCCGAGCAGUUACAGCAGACCCGACCGUAAGAUAGAGACAUGCAAGGCUUGUCUCUUGAGGCUAAACAUUUGAGGGAUUUCAGGAAGUUUGACCCUCGCUCCUUUGAUGGAUGUUGGGGGACCCCACCAAAGCAGAGAUGUGGUUGUCAUCUAUCGAGACAAUUUUUUGUUUUAUGAGGUGCCUAGAAGAGCACAAGCUUCAAUGCGUAGUUUUCAUGUUGAUUGGCAAUGCAGAAAUCUGGUGGCGUUCAGCAAAGAAAAUGAUUGAUACUGGUGGGAAACUUGCAACUUGGGAGCAAUUCAAGGAGCGCUUUUAUGAGAAGUAUUUUACGGCUAACACCCGAUACAACAACUAGACAGAAUUCUUGAACUUGAAAUAGGGAGUUAUGUCGGUGGAGGAGUAUGAACAGGAAUGUGAUAAGCAGUCCCACUUUGCUCCUAAACUAGUAACCACCAAGGAAGCGAGGACUGAAAGAUUCAUCCAGGGUCUGAGGAGCGGACUGCGAGGUAUGGUACAUGCCUUGGACCUCAAGAAGUACGCGGCGACACUGGGGCCACCGUGAGGAUCGAUACUGACUUCCAGGCAGGAGAAGAGUACAGGAGGCCGCUCGGGAUUGGGACCUCUGCAGGUCAGAAAAGAAAGGUUGAACCCAGGGCUCCUGAGCAUCAGCAGAGGAACCAGAACACAGUUAAUGCACCACGUCAAGGAGGAUAGGCCGAUAUGCACUACUUGUGGUAGGCGACACUGGGGAUGAUGCCUAGCCGGCUCUAAGGUCUGUUUUCGAUGUGGCUAGAAGGGCAUAUGUCAGAGAAAUGACCAAGGAGGAAUGUGUCUGAACUCAGGAGCCAACCUGUAAGCUCGUUUCAGGGAGGCUCGAGUUUUCAACAGUAGUAGGGUAGGGUGUUUUCUACCACUCGGCGUGAGGCCGAGAAGUCAGGCAUAGUGGUGACAGCCGCCCGUCCUCCUCAGCCCGACUAGACCACCUCCACCCGAGCCCUGUAGCAGGCCUCCAUAACCGCUCGCUGUUGCACGAUCGAGCCGCCGUCAACAAGCACUGCUCCUCUGCGCGUCACCACGAACCGACCAGCGUCGCUCCAGACGCAUCUGCAUCCGAGUCAUCGCCGUCAGCGUCGCGCCUCUCCUUCAAUCGACUAAAUCUACGUCGGAUUCCUCCUGUUAUCAUCGUCGUUGCUUGUGCCGUCAUCAGAUUAUCAAUUUGGGGUCUUACUUGGAGUUGCUGGUUUCGUUGGUUGUCUAAUAUUAUCUGCGGAUUUUCAAUUUAGGGUGAAUUCAAAGCUUUCCAAGAGUUGUAAGAGGGUUAAUUACUUGGAUUAAUUUGUGACCAAAUUUGAGCUCUAUUGAAGCAACAAGGUCUCGAUCUCAAGGGAUUAACAAAAAGUGCACUAGUGAAUGAGGAAGUUCCACUGUUGCUGGAGGGAGGCGGGAAAAUGGAGGUAUGGUGAAUCAAUGGCAGUGCCAAAACUCCAUUGCUUGCAGAGGAUAUUGGUAAAUUUUAUAGUGGAGACUACUACAUCAUUCUUUACACCUACCACUCUGGUGAGAGGAAAGAAGAUUAUUUCUUGUGCUCUUGGUUUGGAAAGGAUAGCAUCGAGGAAGAUCAAAAGAUGGCUACACAGUUGAUGAAUACAAUGUCCAACUUGCUGAAAGGGAGGCUUGUUUAGGGUUGUAUAUUUCAAGGCAAAGAGCCACCCCAAUUUAUUGCCCUCUUUCAACCUUUUGUGGUGCUCAAGGGUGGCUUGAGCUCUAGUUACAACAAACUCAUAGCAGAUAAAGGAUUGGCUAAUGGAACUUACACGGAAGAUUCUAUUGCCCUUAUUAGGAUAUCAUAAACAUCCAUUCACAACAAUAAAGCAGUGCAAGUUGAAGUUGUUGCAACCUCACUGAACUCUACUGAGUGUUUUGUUCUACAAUCUGGCUCUUCUGUUUUCUCUUGGCAUGGAAACCAAAGUACAUUCGAGCAGCAACAGUUAGCUGGGAAAAGUUGCAGAGUUUCUAAGGUGGUCAAAAAAAGAAGCCUAUAACCAGAUACUGCUAAAGCUAGGGGGUUUGUUCAAGAAGAAUUAUGAAGGGAUCCAUACUUACCAAGUGGAGAGGGACAGUAAACUCAUAAUGUUUGUAAAAUCAUAAUCCUUGUAUUACUUAUAAUUUGUGUUUUCAAGGCCUGAAUUAUUGUA